Molecule: unclassified non-coding RNA, 325 nt
Filed under: uncultured Mortierella
Lineage: Eukaryota; Fungi; Mortierellomycota; Mortierellomycetes; Mortierellales; Mortierellaceae
Description: sequence contains ITS2
Source: RNAcentral
AACGCACAUUGCGCUCUCUGGUAUUCCGGAGAGCAUGCUUGUUUGAGUAUCAGUAAAACACCCUCAGUUCUCUUUAUGAGAAUUGGACUUGAGUGAUCCCAACGGCGGUUUCCGAACCACUGGCGGGUCACUUGAAAUGCAGGUGCGGCUGGACACAUCUUCUGAGCUAUAAGCAUUACUUAUUUAGUCCCGUCAGAUGGAUUAUUUCUACUGCUACAGCUAAUAUAAAGGUCGAUUGUCCGUUUGCCCGACUGAUGCAGAAAAAACAAAGAGAGAUCUUUGUUCACUCGAUCUCAAAUCAAGUAAGACUACCCGCUGAACUUAA